Non-coding RNA from Erythranthe guttata (spotted monkey flower), 2936 nucleotides. The record is from RefSeq and is a predicted model, not a curated record. NCBI's taxonomy places the organism in Eukaryota, Viridiplantae, Streptophyta, Magnoliopsida, Lamiales, Phrymaceae.
UGGCAGAUGGUAGAUCAUCAAUGCAGAAUUUUGGGUUGUUCUUUCUUUAAGGCUGUUUAUAGCCUGUGUUUGCAUUUUUCGUGAUGCGCAGAAGGUGGUUAAGGAUUCGUCGAGAGAUUCUAAUGGAGUUCGCCGGAAUGCUUUGGUGCUAUCCGGAAGCAAAAGACCGUCGUCGGGGUCUUUUUGGAGCAGUGAUGAUCGUCGAUUUAGCAAUGCCAAAAGAAUGAGAGUGGGUGUGUUCUGCGGGUGUUUGCAUUUUUCCUGAUGCGCAGAAGGUGGUGAAGGAUUCGUCUAGAGAUUCUAAUGGAGUUCGCCGGAAUGCUUUGGUGCUAUCCGGAAGCAAAAGACCGUCGUCGGAGUCUUUUCGGAGCAGUGAUGAUCGUCGAUUUAGCAAUGCCAAUUCUUCCUCAUGCUCUUCGUCAUAUGUUCUCCAUCUGUUUUCCCCCAGCCAUUUCUCCGCCUACAAUCGGAAAAUUCCAGUUAACUAAUUUUUGCAAGCCUAGGUUGAUUCGCGUGCUCGUCUACGGUUGCGAGUACAGAAACCUCUGUAUUAAUGAGUCAACUCAGCCGUAGAAGCAAUUGAUUGAGAAAUUUAUAAAAUGGCGAAGCCUCAAGUAACUAUCACUCUCGGCCGCUCCGGUCAGAAGGUGGUGAAGGAUUCGUCGAGAGAUUCUAAUGUAGUUCGCCGGAAUGCUUUGGUGCUAUCCGGAGGCAAAAGACCGUCGUCGGAGUCUUUUCGGAGCAGUGAUGUUCGUCGAUUUAGCAAUGCCAAAAGAAUGAGAGUGGGUGUGUUCUGCGGGUGUUUGCAUUUUUCGUGAUGCGCAGAAGGUGGUGAAGGAUUCGUCGAGAGAUUCUAAUGGAGUUCGCCGGAAUGCUUUGGUGCUAUCCGGAAGCAAAAGACCGUCGUCGGAGUCUUUUCGGAGCAGUGAUGAUCGUCGAUUUUGCAAUGCCAAAAGAAUGAGAGUGGGUGUGAGUGCACGGAGCUACGGGUACAACAGCCGUUUAGAUGAUUGAACAGAUCUUCGCCUGAAACUAACACGCAAGAGAAUGUCAAAGCAUAUAGAGCUCGAAAACGAGAGGCGUAAAAAGAUGGAACUACAUGACAAGGCAUCAAGAGCUACACCACCUUCUAGAAGGGCUGCUGAAACACAACCGAUAGGUUCAACGAUUAAAAAUUCUUAUGCUUCAUGGAAUUCAAAUGCAGCGAAAACGAGAUCCCCCGAAAGAAUUCCGAAAUAUUCUGGUGGAUUUUCUAACAACCCCAUGAAUUCUAUUGGUCAACUGCCUCAUGUACCAUCAAUUAGGCCGAUAGAUGCUUCAAGAGAAGAGCAUUUGUCGAUGAGGGAUGCCUUGGAAUCUUCUAGGCCAGAUUUACCUAUAUUCACCACUCCGAGAGGUUUUCUGGAUAAUGGCAAGAUGGUCACCGAUCUUCCUCCAGCAACAGGUGGCAUGUCCAGACCUAUUUACCAGGUGAAAGCGAUGAGGCAACUACAACUUAGAAAAUUGAGGCGUGUGGCAAACAAGCAAAUGUGCCGCAAACCUCUGUUGCUGAAUUUAUGAUCUGCUUGGGGGGUCUCGUGUGCUCAUCAUAUUACUAAGUUAACCCCAUUUUACAUAGUCUGGCCUUUGUGUGAGCAUCAUUAUUCAAUCACUCAACAAUUCGUGCGGGGGUGUUCUUCACGGGGCGCACAAAGCCGGAGAAGUAUUUGCGGAUGAAGAAGAAAAUAUCUGAUUUAACACAGGAAAAAUUUAUCGUCGUCCUCAUCUUCCACCUCCAAUCUUUUUAAAUCCCACAGUUACUUUCGCAUGUUGCUUUAUGCAGAUAAUAAUUGAUUUCAGUUAUGAUUUCAGAACGCAUUUUCCGUAAGCAUGAUGCUCUUUUGUUUUUAUUGCAUGCCACACAUCCAAUUAAAAGCAGGCAAUUAAUAGCUUCAAGCAAUAGGACCGUGAAAGAAUGAGCCCUAAAAUGGGGAAAAUUGACAUUCAUUAUCAGGGUCAGCCAUGAUGCCUCCUUAAUGCAUCAUUCUAAACUUACAUUGCCAGCUCAAGGUGAUCUUACGAGGGAAAGUAUUUUUAAGUGCAUCGUUGAUAUUUCCUCGAAAGUGUUCUUCUAUUUGGUUUAUUGUUUUUUGUUUAUUGUUUGGUACAAAUUGCUAUAGAUGGGUGGUUCUUUUGACGCUAAUAUGCUGGAUUUUUUUUAUAGGCUCCGUUGUUUCAAUUCUUGAUAAUUUGGAACCAUUGCUCCUAAUCAAAACGACUGUUAGAUUUCUUAGGGCCUCGUUUGGGAACAUUCGAUAGAGCUUCAUUAUAUUGUCUAUCAUGCCUAAUCAUGAUUGCCAAGCAAGGCUUAAGAGUACAAAAUCAUCAUUUUUGUUAAUCCUUGCAGCUAAAAGAAAAGUUGGAGAAACGUCGAUUAAUGAAAUCAGCUCGAGAUCCCACAAAAUUAUUACAUUGGGACAAUGCGAGCACUCUUACAACUGCUGUGGUGUGAAAUUUAUCUAACAACAAAAAAAUAAAGUUGGGACUGUGCUAUUUAUGCUCACUGUUACGCGCAGCUUUCCGAUUGUCGACUUCGGCAAUGCUUCGAUUGCUUCUUCGGGUUUCGGAAAUUUGUUCUGAUGAAUGAUGAUGGUGGAUUUGGUCAUAGAGACUGACAAGAAAUGCGAAGAACUCAUUUUCGAUUUUCUCAAACUACAGUUUUGGAUUUCUCGGUAGUAGUGCUAGUAACCCUCCACCGGAAUGGAUCGAGUAGCGGAUCGAGGUCUUGCCCGGGUUUUUGGAAGUUGUACGAGGGCCUAUGAACGAUGUUAAAUAUUUUGGGUUUUUCCUUUUUUGUGAUGUAAUAUUAAACCUUCGUAUUUCCCUUUUCGUAUCUUUUGAACUCAUUUUCGGUAUGGAUCAUGCUUAUUAUAAAAAGGUUUGUUUGGUAAUUUCAU